This is a long non-coding RNA of Ictalurus punctatus (channel catfish), 3732 nucleotides long. The record is from Ensembl. Lineage: Eukaryota; Metazoa; Chordata; Actinopteri; Siluriformes; Ictaluridae.
GUAAGUGUUAGGGAGCACACCUGGCAUAUACACACUGCGUUUCUGAAUGUGUGCCGGAAAUGUUCGGAACAUGCUGUUAUUCCGGGACCAUCGAAAAUAAAGGGAAAUUUUGGAGCUCGCCUAACUCCCACAGCAUCAGUGACACAGACAUGAAUGAAUGUUUGGCUUAGUCCAGACGAUCAGGAAAUUCCUUUGGGAAUGGAUCCCAUGUGGAUGUUGCAGGGAAUUACACACUAAUGUAAAAUGAGUCUAGAGAUCAAACAGCCGAACCGAGACACGGGCUGCGUCCGGAACCGCACACUUACCUACUGCACAGUAGGCGAAAAGCAGUACACCAGAGGGGUAGUAUGUCCGAAUUCUCAGUAGGCGAGAAAUACCCGGAUGGUGUACUGCUUCCGGCUAGAUUUUGUAGUAUGCAACUGAUGACCUGCGUGAAGUUGACCCCCACCCAACGCAAAACGUCGGCAAAAUAGUCUGAAUCAUUUGUGCUCCGUUUGUGCCGAUGAAAGUUCCGUUUGAGCUGCUUCAGUUUUUUAAAUAUUAGAUAUUAAAUUAUAGGCGAUGACGUCACCAACCCCCACACGCUCCAAAUUCACCCCCAAAUAGUCUCAAUCGUUUGUGCUAAUAAGAGCUUCAUUUUUGCGACUGUCUUUCUUUUUUUUAACAAUACAGUUGAAGAAACAAAGUAACAUCCAAAUGGCAAAACAAAUCACAUUAAAUAGUCGUAUUCACUUAAUUGUUAACUAUCUACUGUUCGUUUUCAACUUUUAAGGGACACAGCGGAGCACAGGAUGUGUGAAAUGUAACACGAACUCCAAGACAUUCCUGUCACUCCACUUCUCAGGUCUUCAUACAUCUCCCAGACACAUGGAGACCUCCUGCAGUAGGCCACAUAAUGCCCAAGAGCAUCCUGGGUAAAGCCUCCUCUGAAAGCAAUGACUGCCCUUAGAGUAAAUCUCUCUCCUUGGAGCAUCAGAUUGGAGGGAAUUUCACAGGUGCUUCCCAGAGGGACAGUGUGACGGACUUUGGAUUGGCCUCAGGCAGGGGGACUCCGGAAGGUUAAGGCCUUCUUCCACUGCCGUCUGAAGGUGAGCCAUGCUAGAAGCCUGCAGUACAGCAACAGAAGUACAAACAAAUGGAAUUUCCCUUGUGACAUCUGUGCUGACCCUGCAAUACUGUGAGGAGCACUGUUGUGUGAAGGAAACACAUGCACGUUGUGUCAUUGACUUUUCAAUGAUCAUGGAGAUGUGGCACUGGCAUCGAUUUGGAGAGCACCAGAUUUCAAUUGGACAGCUUUGAAUAUUCCACUCAGCAGCUCUGCCCUCUGUAUGUAGACCUGUGCAUUCAGACCCUUUGUGGUGAUUGUUUUCACUAGCUGGAGGAGGUUGUUGGGGUCCUCAAACAAUAUUUCCAAAAGUGACACUUUUGCAUAAAGCACAACAUGAGCAUUGACAAAAAAAGCAUCAAAUGCACGUGUUCAUCACAGAGAUUAUUGAUUUCCUGAGUUUAACAGGAUGUUAUUUCCAUUUUUCAACAGUUCUGCUUUCAGUCUUUUCCCCCUCAUGGAUGGAUCUGCAUGGAGCCAUUCAGGACAAGGAGAGGGGUAUGACUUCAUUUCCCUCUUUAUUUUGGGUGGAACUGCUAAGCCUCUCCAGUUUUCUACAGCGGAUGGAUGUUUGUGACCUUGUCAGACUUCCCAGAACAGGAAGCAUCCAUUUCUUGUUUUCUGUCUACACUGCAAGUUGUGGUGGGUAGUGGAUUGGCUCCUGUGAUUAUCACUGUUGUGACAGCUGCAUCUUCUUCACCUUCUUCACUUUUUUGUUUUGCAUAACAAAUUCACAUAUUAACCCUCAAUUAAGGACACAUGUCACACAAUGAAUCGAUCCACCCGAAUAGGCAAGUUUUCAUGCUUGAAAAGCCUGUGGUUGAUGUUUUUGAACUCUGCUUCAACAUUGGCUGAACUUGCGAGGGAGGGAUCAUUACCCCUGUCCAGAGUGGUCCCCACCCUCGACAUCUGGAAUGAUUACACACUCUUCUGCAAUUCGGGCUUUCAGCAGUCCCACUGGCAGAUCAUCUUGAUGCACUGUGCAACAUCAACCCGAACAAAACAAGGUGGCACUUUUGCUGACUCUUUACUGAGUGAGACACCACAACACUCAUUGAUGUAGGUCUUCAGAUCAGGACGAGGAGUAAAAGCCUUGACCAUAGCUCCCAGCAAAGCCAGAGAAAAGUUACACACAACCUCUUUUGGAAUUGGUACACCUGCACGUAUCCAUUCUGUCAGCCAAUGUGUUAUUGCAUUAACAUCGUGUCUCUCUGACUGCAUUUGCACCACUGGGACACUUGAACUCACAUCCCUGCCAGAACACUCUGAUAUAAGAUAUGGCCAGACAUGCCAUUUGGUCUCAGUAGUUUCCUCACUACUGAGUCAGUUGCAUCAAAACUCACAGUGGGGGUGGCCAAAUUAGGCAGAUGGAUUGGCUCAGGAUCUCCAAAAUCCAUCAGCUUUGUUGCCUCUGAUGCCCUCCAUACAUGGAGUUGCAUUCUGCUCUCACACAGUUCUUUGGCUGUCUGCACAUGCAAGUUACCAGACAUCGCAUGCUUGGAACAGCCAGUGUGCAGGGAGUCAUUAGUGUUUUUAAUUAAACACUUGAGCACCAUUGGGCUGUUCAUUUCACACUGUCAAAUUUUAUGUGAAUGUGGCCAAGGCAUUCCUUACAGUUGCCUCUGAUUUCUAUGAAUUUCUCUGUGGCUGAUUGAUAGACCUUGGCUCUUUUAAAGGCUAAUGUGCAGGGGCUUUUCACUUCUUGCCAAAUGUGAUUAUUUAUCACAUGUGUCCAGAUGCCAGGCUUCAAAGUUGUGUAUUCCCUUUUUUGUGUUUUAGAGAACUUGUUUUUGUAUUGAACUGUUUCAGGCCUAAAUUCAAUCCAUUUUUGAAAUGGAACUUCAACAUCAAAAAGUCCAGCAGUCUUUUGGUCUGGGGGAAAAGGGACCCUGGCUCAAAAUCAGUGUCAUCAUUACUGCCACUUGUUUCAUGAUCACUUUCAUAAAUAAACCCUAAAGCAGUCCAGAUGUUGUGUCUGUUCAAUUUAACAAACGUAUAUAGAGCCUUUGCAGUGAGCUUGUUUUUUUUGCUGCUCACUAAGCUCUGUCCAGAUGCUCUGAUUAGGAGUAGCUAUGUUGUCAUUUUGGACUAUGGCCUCUUUUGAUGAACAGAGGACUGUGAAAAUGGACUCCCUGAUGAAUGCUGGUUUCUUGGGCAUCUACCCACUGAAAUAAUGUAUUUUAAUCAUGUACAUUAUGUAUGUAUAUUAAUCAUGUAUUACUGUAUUUGCCUGAAUACAAGGAAAAUGUAAUAUAGUAUUAAUAUAUUAGGUUAUUAUAUCUUAUAUUAGGACCAAUAUGGUAAUGUUGACCCCUAGAUGCAUAACCUAUUCAAAAAAACUAAUAAGGGUACCAUGUACAGCUGUAAUUAGCAUUUCAUAGCUCAAUUAGCCAUAUUAGUAUUAGCAAGGAGUUUUCUGUUCAAUAAACAUUGACAAUCUUAGCUCUCUUGAAUGUUGUACCAUUUGGUGUGUAUAUGUUUAAAAUUGUAGUAUGUUGUUCAAAUAUUGUACCAGUGACCAGAAUGUAUCUACCUUCAGGGUCCUGUUCCUGGUAUUCCAGAACAAGUGGGAUAUUUUUGUGUAUUAGUAUAGUGGUGCCUAUCCUAUUUGAACUGUAUGAGGAGGA